This is a non-coding RNA of Arachis ipaensis, 305 nucleotides long. The record is from RefSeq and is a predicted model, not a curated record. Lineage: Eukaryota; Viridiplantae; Streptophyta; Magnoliopsida; Fabales; Fabaceae.
UCCUAAACAAUUAUGAUUGGUGCUGAGAUUAUUGUUGCUGUUGCUCCAAGAGGAAAGUUGUUGCUACUAGGAAUUAAAAAUAAACGAAUGGUUUGUUGCGUUUAAUUACCGAGUUUUGGCUAAUUGAGAAUGUUCCUUACUUGGGAUGCAGUGCCUUGUAUACUUAUUUUCAGGUGUGUGGCACAUAUUAGAACUUCUCCAUGAGAAAUGAGAAAGGAGUUGAAUGAACAUGAUGGAGUUUGUAAUUUGUAGUUUACAUUUUGGAGAUUUAUAACUCCUUGUUUUUCUUGUCCUAUGUAUCUAUC